Molecule: ribosomal RNA, 489 nt
Filed under: uncultured bacterium
Lineage: Bacteria
Description: partial 16S ribosomal RNA
Rfam family: Bacterial small subunit ribosomal RNA
Source: RNAcentral
GACGAACGCUGGCGGCGUGCUUAACACAUGCAAGUCGAACGGUGAAGGGAUCAGCUUGCUGGUUCUGGAUGAGUGGCGAACGGGUGAGUAACACGUGAGUAACCUGCCCCCUUCUUCUGGAUAACCACAUGAAAGUGUGGCUAAUACGGGAUAUUCUGGUUCUGCCGCGUGAUGGGUCUGGGAAAGCGAUUGUUUCGGUGGGGGAUGGGGUCGCGGCGUAUCAGCUUGUUGGUGGGGUGAUGGCCUACCAAGGCGGUGACGGGUAGCCGGCCGGUGAGGGUCGGCGCUGAGAGGGGGACUGAGCACAGGGCGAGACUGAUACGGCAGGCAGCAGUGGGGAAUAUAGCAGUAGGGGAGAUAGCAUGAUGCAGCGACGCCGGGUGAGGGAUCGAGGCCUUCGGGAUGUAGGCCUCUUUGGUGAGUGACGCAGGCGUGCGCGUUGUGGGUGGGUUGACGGUAGCUGGAUAAGAAGCGCCGGCUAACUACGUG